RNAcentral lists this long non-coding RNA (468 nucleotides) under Pan troglodytes (chimpanzee). Its description in RNAcentral is "lincRNA". The record is from RNAcentral. Lineage: Eukaryota; Metazoa; Chordata; Mammalia; Primates; Hominidae.
CACCACUGCAAGAGGGGAAGUUGCUACUGUGAUGAAUUCUGCCAUGUGGUACCAGACUGCUACCCAGACCACAGUGUCCUCUGCAACCCUCGUCAAAGGUGCCUACAUGUUCCUUCUAGCUUUGUUUCCCUGAUGUUCCUUGCCACCUGCUACUCCUCUCUGAGCUACUUUUCCAGCUUCUCAGAUGACCAAGAUGGUGCUGCAGAUGGUGCUGAGGAUGGAGAACCCACCAAGCCCCGCUAGGAGCCACCUAGACUGGAUGUAGAGCAUGGCCCCAGCACCCGCAGAGCAGACACUGCGAUGACAACGGACGACACAGAAGUGCCCGCUAUGACUCCAGCACCGGGCCACGCCGCUCUGGAAACUCAAACGCUGAGCGCUGAGACCUCUUCUAGGGCCUCAACCCCAGUCGGCCCCAUUCCAGAAGCAGAGACCAGGGGAGCCAAGAGAAUUUCCCCUGCAAGAGAG